Pangasianodon gigas (Mekong giant catfish) is the source of this 73-nucleotide non-coding RNA. The record is from the annotation of a GenBank genome assembly. NCBI's taxonomy places the organism in Eukaryota, Metazoa, Chordata, Actinopteri, Siluriformes, Pangasiidae.
GCCUUCUUUUUCUAAAAGCUCACAGAUUCAUUAGUUUAUUACCAAAAUUUAAUGAAAUGUAUGAAGCAUGAAC